Molecule: non-coding RNA, 116 nt
Organism: Sphingobacteriales bacterium 50-39
Lineage: Bacteria; Pseudomonadati; Bacteroidota; Sphingobacteriia; Sphingobacteriales
Source: Rfam
GGCGGAAGGCCCGCCGGAGCCGGCAUACAGGUGCGGGCUUCAAACCAGCUUGAACAAUUCUGUCGAAAGGAUAGGGUUGGAAGCGACAAGUCAAAAGGCACUUUGAAGAGUCAGGU